ACUGUCAUAUUCCCCCUCCUCCUUUUUAUCGAAUCUCUUUCUGUGGUCUGAAUAUGUGUAAGAAAGAUCAAAUAGACAAUCACUUCUUUAGUUGGUGUUGAAUAGUGCAAGGGAGUUGUGCACGUGCUCGUGGGAAUAGUGCUUGGUAUAAAGGUAAGUAAAAGCUGGUGAAAUUAACAAAUAUAUUUGAUUGUAAUUUGUAUUUGUUUUAAUAGAAAACCCUGAUACUAUUUCAACAUAGUAAUGUGUUAUUGCUAUAUUCAAAUUGUAUCAGAUUUGUCUAUCAAAUAAACUAUAAAUUACAAUAAAGAAACAAAAAUAACGGUAAUACAUGAAAAAAACAAGCAACAACAACGUAUAUGCAGCGACAAGCAAAAAUGAGGAGAGAAAUAAUGUGUGAGUGUUUAUUCAUACAUAUGUGUUCUUUUUGUCUUUGCUUGUGGCUGCUACGACGUACAUUAGCGUAUGCAUUUGUCACCAAAUGUACGUUGUUGUUGUUGUUGUUGAAGCGACAGUGUUCGUAUUUAUGUAUAUCUUUUUGUUUUUUCUUCUCAGUUGUUUUUUUUUUCUCUGGUGUCUUUUUUUUUUUUGGGUGCUCGUGCGUACAUUUUUGUUGGUGUUUGGCGUUUUGUAGUUUUUUUCACAAUGGCUGAGGAAUAUAAUUUAAAAUCACUCGGUAAGGCGUUAAAAAAUAAAAUUUAUAUUAAACAUAUAUCUUUCUUUACCAGCCCUCCCUUAAAUAUACAUACAAUUUGUAAUGGAAAUACAUAUUUUAGAAAUAUGCGGUAUUAAUAAAUAAAUAAUAAAUAAACUUGUAAAAAUUA
This is a long non-coding RNA of Musca domestica (house fly), 824 nucleotides long. RefSeq lists it as uncharacterized. Lineage: Eukaryota; Metazoa; Arthropoda; Insecta; Diptera; Muscidae. The record is from RefSeq and is a predicted model, not a curated record. The transcript has 2 exons.